GGAUUCCCCUAGUAACUGCGAGUGAAGCGGGAAAAGCUCAAAUUUAAAAUCUGGCGGUCUCUGGCCGUCCGAGUUGUAAUCUAGAGAAGUGUUAUCCGCGCUGGACCGUGUACAAGUCUCCUGGAAUGGAGCGUCAUAGAGGGUGAGAAUCCCGUCUUUGACACGGACUGCCAGGGCUUUGUGAUGCGCUCUCAAAGAGUCGAGUUGUUUGGGAAUGCAGCUCAAAAUGGGUGGUAAAUUCCAUCUAAAGCUAAAUAUUGGCGAGAGACCGAUAGCGAACAAGUACCGUGAGGGAAAGAUGAAAAGAACUUUGGAAAGAGAGUUAAACAGUACGUGAAAUUGCUGAAAGGGAAACGCUUGAAGUCAGUCGCGUUGGCCGGGAAUCAACCUUGCUUUUGCUGGGCGUAUUUUCUGGUCGACGGGUCAACAUCAAUUUUGACCGUUGGAUAAAGUCUGAGGGAAUGUGGCUUCUUCGGGAGUGUUAUAGCCCUUGGUCGCAUACAACGGUUGGGAUUGAGGAACUCAGCACGCCGCAAGGCCGGGUACUUGUACCACGUUCGUGCUUAGGAUGUUGGCAUAAUGGCUUUAAUCGACCCGUCUUGAAACACGGACCAAGGAGUCUAACAUGCCUGCGAGUGUUUGGGUGGAAAACCCGAGCGCGUAAUGAAAGUGAAAGUUGAGAUCCCUGUCGUGGGGAGCAUCGACGCCCGGACCAGACCUUUUGUGACGGAUCCGCGGUAGAGCAUGUAUGUUGGGACCCGAAAGAUGGUGAACUAUGCCUGAAUAGGGUGAAGCCAGAGGAAACUCUGGUGGAGGCUCGUAGCGAUUCUGACGUGCAAAUCGAUCGUCAAAUUUGGGUAUAGGGGCGAAAGACUAAUCGA
This 881-nucleotide ribosomal RNA is filed under the name Psilocybe thaiduplicatocystidiata. Its description in RNAcentral is "LSU rRNA". It matches the Rfam family "Eukaryotic large subunit ribosomal RNA", at positions 72 to 938 of the family's 3401-position model. The record is from RNAcentral. Lineage: Eukaryota; Fungi; Basidiomycota; Agaricomycetes; Agaricales; Agrocybaceae.